This 254-nucleotide ribosomal RNA is filed under the name uncultured bacterium. RNAcentral describes it as "partial 16S ribosomal RNA". It matches the Rfam family "Bacterial small subunit ribosomal RNA", at positions 524 to 777 of the family's 1533-position model. The record is from RNAcentral.
UACGUAGGGGGCGAGCGUUGUCCGGAUUUAUUGGGCGUAAAGAGCGCGUAGGCGGUCCGAUAAGUCGGCUGUGAAAGUCAGGGGCUCAACCCUUGGAAGCCGGCCGAUACUGUCGGACUAGAGUCCGGAAGAGGCGAGUGGAAUUCCCGGUGUAGCGGUGAAAUGCGUAGAUAUCCGGAGGAACACCAGUGGCGAAGGCGACUUUCUGGCCUGUUCUUGACGCUGAGGCGCGAAAGCUAGGGGAGCAAACGGGG